GCUCCAGACUCCUACGGGAGGCAGCAGUGGGGAAUAUUGCGCAAUGGGGGAAACCCUGACGCAGCAACGCCGCGUGAGUGAGGAAGUAUCUCGGUAUGUAAAGCUCUAUCAGCGGGGAAGAAGGAAGACGGUACCCGACUAAGAAGCCCCGGCUAACUACGUGCCAGCAGCCGCGGUAAUACGUAGGGGGCGAGCGUUAUCCGGAUUUACUGGGUGUAAAGGGAGCGUAGACGGCGUCGCAAGUCUGAAGUGAAAGCCCGUGGCUCAACCGCGGAACCGCUUUGGAAACUGCGAGGCUGGAGUGCUGGAGAGGUAAGCGGAAUUCCUGGUGUAGCGGUGAAAUGCGUAGAUAUUAGGAGGAACACCAGUGGCGAAGGCGGCUUACUGGACUGUAACUGACGUUGAGGCUCGAAAGCGUGGGGAGCAAACAGGAUUAGAUACCCCGGUAU
RNAcentral lists this ribosomal RNA (449 nucleotides) under uncultured bacterium. RNAcentral describes it as "bacterial SSU rRNA". It matches the Rfam family "Bacterial small subunit ribosomal RNA", at positions 328 to 793 of the family's 1533-position model. The record is from RNAcentral.